This 1350-nucleotide ribosomal RNA is filed under the name metagenome. RNAcentral's name for it is "bacterial LSU rRNA". It matches the Rfam family "Bacterial large subunit ribosomal RNA", at positions 1564 to 2925 of the family's 2925-position model. The record is from RNAcentral.
CGAGUCCGAGUCUCCACGGAGACGAAGUGGCGGUCAUCCAGCUUCCUAGAAAAGCUCUAACCACGUUAAUCUUUAGUUGCCUGUACCCGAAACCGACACAGGUAGGGGGGUAGAGAAUACCAAGGGGCGCGAGAUAACUCUCUCUAAGGAACUCGGCAAAAUGACCCCGUAACUUCGGGAGAAGGGGUACCACUGAGAAGUGGUCGCAGUGAAGAGGCCCAGGCGACUGUUUACCAAAAACACAGGUCUCCGCCAAGUCGCAAGACGAAGUAUGGGGGCUGACGCCUGCCCAGUGCCGGAAGGUUAAGGAAGUGGGUUAGGGAUUCGUCCCAGCUAGCCACCGAAGCCCCGGUGAACGGCGGCCGUAACUAUAACGGUCCUAAGGUAGCGAAAUUCCUUGUCGGGUAAGUUCCGACCCGCACGAAAGGCGUAACGAUCUGGGCGCUGUCUCGGAGAGAGGCUCGGCGAAAUAGGAAUGUCUGUGAAGAUACGGACUACCUGCACCUGGACAGAAAGACCCUAUGAAGCUUUACUGUAGCUUGGAAUUGGGUUCGGGCUUGGUUUGCGCAGGAUAGGUGGGAGGCGAAGAAGAUUUGCUUGUGGGUGAAUCUGAGCCAACGGUGAGAUACCACUCUAACCAGGCUAGAAUUCUAACUUCAACCCGUCAACCGGGGGAAGGACAGUUUCAGGUGGGCAGUUUGACUGGGGCGGUCGCCUCCUAAAAGAUAACGGAGGCGCACAAAGGUUCCCUCAGGCUGGUUGGAAAUCAGCCAACGAGUGCAAAGGCAAAGGGAGCUUGACUGCGAGACCUACAAGUCAAGCAGGGUGGAAACACGGUCUUAGUGAUCCGACGGCACCGAGUGGAAGGGCCGUCGCUCAACGGAUAAAAGUUACUCUAAGGAUAACAGGCUGAUCUUCCCCAAGAGUUCACAUCGACGGGGAGGUUUGGCACCUCGAUGUCGGCUCAUCGCAACCUGGGGCGGAAGUACGUCCCAAGGGUUGGGCUGUUCGCCCAUUAAAGCGGUACGUGAGCUGGGUUCAGAACGUCGUGAGACAGUUCGGUCCAUAUCCGGUGUAGGCGCAAGAACAUUGAGAGGAGUCUUCCUUAGUACGAGAGGACCGGGAAGAACGCACCGCUGGUGUACCUGUUAUCGUGCCAACGGUAAACGCAGGGUAGCCAAGUGCGGAGUGGAUAACCGCUGAAAGCAUCUAAGUGGGAAGCCCACCUCAAGAUGAGUGUUCUCAUGGAGUAAUCCAGUAAGGUCACGGGAAGACGACCCGUUGAUAGGCGGUAGGUGGAAGUUCAGCAAUGGAUGAAGCCGAGCCGUACUAACAGACCGAGGGCUUGAC